GAUGAAGAACGUAGCGAAAUGCGAUAAGUAGUGUGAAUUGCAGAAUUCAGUGAAUCAUCGAAUCUUUGAACGUACAUUGCGCCCUUUGGUAUUCCUUAGGGCAUGCCUGUUCGAGCGUCAUUUCAACCAUCAAGCCCCCGGCUUGUGUUGGGGACCUGCGGCUGCCGCAGGCCCUGAAAUGCAGUGGCGGGCUCGCUGUCACUCCGAGCGUAGUAGUUACAUCUCGCUCUGGGCGUGCUGCGGGUUCCGGCCGUUAAAAGCCUUAUUUACCCAAGGUUGACCUCGGAUCAGGUAGGAAGACCCGCUGAACUUAAGCAUAUCAAUAAGCGGAGGA
This 334-nucleotide unclassified non-coding RNA is filed under the name soil metagenome. RNAcentral describes it as "partial contains 5.8S ribosomal RNA, internal transcribed spacer 2, and large subunit ribosomal RNA". The stretch from base 1 to 120 matches the Rfam family "5.8S ribosomal RNA", at positions 35 to 154 of the family's 154-position model. The record is from RNAcentral.